GGAUCCAUCACCUAGCCUGGAUUGGGUGCUGGACUUCUAAUCCAGAUGUCGCAGGUUCAAAUCCUGCUGGAUCCG
RNAcentral lists this transfer RNA (75 nucleotides) under Promethearchaeota archaeon. RNAcentral describes it as "tRNA-Arg". It matches the Rfam family "tRNA". From Rfam's summary of the family: Transfer RNA (tRNA) molecules are approximately 80 nucleotides in length. RNAcentral also lists the same sequence under 1 other name. Lineage: Archaea; Promethearchaeati; Promethearchaeota. The record is from RNAcentral.